RNAcentral lists this long non-coding RNA (392 nucleotides) under Manihot esculenta (cassava). RNAcentral's name for it is "long non-coding RNA (MESC_LNC000517)". Lineage: Eukaryota; Viridiplantae; Streptophyta; Magnoliopsida; Malpighiales; Euphorbiaceae. The record is from RNAcentral.
AGAACCAUUAGAGUAUUAUUUUUUAUGAAUGAAGGGAUUUUAAUUUUACAAUAAUUAAAAAAAUUAUGAAAGAAAGGGAGAUAAUAUGUUUAAAAAUAAUAAUGAUAACACCAAUAUUUAAUUAAAGAUAAUAUUAUUUAAAUUAGAGAGCUGAUUACGCAUGAGCUGUGUAAUCAAGGCUUCCCUAUUUUAUUCCAUAAAACUACAUGCAGAGCUAAACUCCCCGUUUCAUAAUAUAACAUAACAUAUGAGUAUGCUACUGAUAAACAAGUGUAGCUAAUAUUUCUAGAAGGGAAGCUUCAUUUUUAUUUACUUCUCUAGCAUUUAGGGAUGGCAACCCCACACGUGCUAGCUACCUUUCUGGCAUUGGGUGAGUUUAUAUACUGCUUCAG